RNAcentral lists this ribosomal RNA (468 nucleotides) under uncultured bacterium. Its description in RNAcentral is "partial 16S ribosomal RNA". It matches the Rfam family "Bacterial small subunit ribosomal RNA", at positions 28 to 507 of the family's 1533-position model. The record is from RNAcentral.
GACGAACGCUGGCGGCGUGCUUAACACAUGCAAGUCGAACGGCAAGGCCCUGCUUUCGUGGGGUGCUCGAGUGGCGAUCGGGUGCGUAACACGUGUGUAACCUGCUCUUGACUUUCGGAUAACUUCAGGAAACUGGGGUUAAUAUCGGAUAGGAGCCCCCGCUGCAUGGUGGGGGUUGGAACGUUUCGGCGGUUGGGGAUGGACUCGCGGAUUAACAGCUUGUUGGUGGGGUAGUGGCUUACCAAGGCUUUGACGGGUACCCGGCCUGUGAGGGUGACCGGCCACAUUAGGACUGAGAUACGGCCCAGACUCCUACAGGAGACAACAGUGGGAAAUAUUACACAAUGAGCGGAAGCCUGAUGCAGCAACGCCGCGUGCGGGAUGACGGCCUGCGGGUAGUAAACCGCUUUCGCCUAUGACGAAGCGUGAGUGACGGUAAUGGGUAAAGAAGCACCGGCUAACUACGUG